RNAcentral lists this transfer RNA (77 nucleotides) under Sporomusa malonica. RNAcentral's name for it is "tRNA_Val_GAC". It matches the Rfam family "tRNA". Rfam says of the family: Transfer RNA (tRNA) molecules are approximately 80 nucleotides in length. Their secondary structure includes four short double-helical elements and three loops (D, anti-codon, and T loops). Further hydrogen bonds mediate the characteristic L-shaped molecular structure. tRNAs have two regions of fundamental functional importance: the anti-codon, which is responsible for specific mRNA codon recognition, and the 3' end, to which the tRNAs corresponding amino acid is attached (by aminoacyl-tRNA synthetases). tRNAs cope with the degeneracy of the genetic code in two manners: having more than one tRNA (with a specific anti-codon) for a particular amino acid; and 'wobble' base-pairing, i.e. permitting non-standard base-pairing at the 3rd anti-codon position. Lineage: Bacteria; Bacillati; Bacillota; Negativicutes; Selenomonadales; Sporomusaceae. RNAcentral also lists the same sequence under 1 other name. The record is from RNAcentral.
GGGACUAUAGCUCAGUUGGUUAGAGCGCUACGUUGACAUCGUAGAGGUCACUGGUUCGAAUCCAGUUAGCCCCACCA